AACUUGGCAGAGAUGCCUUGGUGCCUUCGGGAACGCUGAGACAGGUGCUGCAUGGCUGUCGUCAGCUCGUGUUGUGAAAUGUUGGGUUAAGUCCCGNAACGAGCGCAACCCUUUAUCCUUUGUUGCCAGCGAUUCGGUCGGGAACUCAAAGGAGACUGCCGGUGAUAAACCGGAGGAAGGUGGGGAUGACGUCAAGUCAUCAUGGCCCUUACGAGUAGGGCUACACACGUGCUACAAUGGCGCAUACAAAGAGAAGCGACCUCGCGAGAGCAAGCGGACCUCAUAAAGUGCGUCGUAGUCCGGAUCGGAGUCUGCAACUCGACUCCGUGAAGUCGGAAUCGCUAGUAAUCGUGGAUCAGAAUGCCACGGUGAAUACGUUCCCGGGCCUUGUACACACCGCCCGUCACACCAUGGGAGUGGGUUGCAAAAGAAGUAGGUAGCUUAACCUUCGGGAGGGCGCUUACCACUUUGUGAUUCAUGACUGGGGUGAAGUCGUAACAAGGUAAGCGUAGCGAG
Molecule: ribosomal RNA, 516 nt
Filed under: uncultured bacterium
Lineage: Bacteria
Description: bacterial SSU rRNA
Rfam family: Bacterial small subunit ribosomal RNA
Source: RNAcentral